UACGUAGGGGGCAAGCGUUAUCCGGAUUUACUGGGUGUAAAGGGAGCGUAGACGGCACUGCAAGUCUGGAGUGAAAGCCCGAGGCCCAACCACGGGACUGCUCUGGAAACUGCGGGGCUGGAGUGCGGGAGGGGCAGGCGGAAUUCCUGGUGUAGCGGUGAAAUGCGUAGAUAUCAGGAGGAACACCGGCGGCGAAGGCGGCCUGCUGGACCGCGACUGACGUUGAGGCUCGAAAGCGUGGGGAGCGAACAGG
This 253-nucleotide ribosomal RNA is filed under the name uncultured Eubacteriales bacterium. RNAcentral's name for it is "uncultured Clostridiales bacterium partial 16S ribosomal RNA". It matches the Rfam family "Bacterial small subunit ribosomal RNA", at positions 524 to 776 of the family's 1533-position model. The record is from RNAcentral. Lineage: Bacteria; Bacillati; Bacillota; Clostridia; Eubacteriales.